This 496-nucleotide ribosomal RNA is filed under the name uncultured bacterium. RNAcentral describes it as "partial 16S ribosomal RNA". It matches the Rfam family "Bacterial small subunit ribosomal RNA", at positions 28 to 506 of the family's 1533-position model. The record is from RNAcentral.
GAUGAACGCUGGCGGCGUGCCUAAUACAUGCAAGUCGAGCGAACAGACGAGGAGCUUGCUCCUCUGACGUUAGCGGCGGACGGGUGAGUAACACGUGGAUAACCUACCUAUAAGACUGGGAUAACUUCGGGAAACCGGAGCUAAUACCGGAUAAUAUAUUGAACCGCAUGGUUCAAUAGUGAAAGACGGUUUUGCUUUCACAUAUAGAUGGAUCCGCUCCGCAUUAGCUAGUUGGUAAGGUAACGGCUUACCAAGGCAACGAUGCGUAGCCGACCUGAGAGGGUGAGCGGCCACAGUGGAACUGAGACACGGUACAGACUCCUACGGGAGGCAGCAGUAGGGAAUCUUCCGCAAUGGGCGAAAGCCUGACGGAGCAACGGCGCGUGAGUGAUGAAGGUCUUCGGAUCGUAAAACUCUGUUAUGAGGGAAGAACAAAUGUGUAAGUAACUAUGCACGUGUUGACGGUACCUAAUCAGAAAGCCACGGCUAACUACGU